AAUAGAUACCCUGGUAGUCCAUGCCGUAAACGUUGGGCACUAGGUGUGGGGCUCAUUCCACGAGUUCCGUGCCGCAGCAAACGCAUUAAGUGCCCCGCCUGGGGAGUACGGCCGCAAGGCUAAAACUCAAAGGAAUUGACGGGGGCCCGCACAAGCGGCGGAGCAUGCGGAUUAAUUCGAUGCAACGCGAAGAGCCUUACCAAGGCUUGACAUGCACGGGAAGCCACCAGAGAUGGUGGUCUCUUUGGACACUCGUGCACAGGUGGUGCAUGGUUGUCGUCAGCUCGUGUCGUGAGAUGUUGGGUUAAGUCCCGCAACGAGCGCAACCCUCGUCCCAUGUUGCCAGCGGGUUAUGCCGGGGACUCAUGGGAGACUGCCGGGGUCAACUCGGAGGAAGGUGGGGAUGACGUCAAAUCAUCAUGCCCCUUAUGUCUUGGGCUUCACGCAUGCUACAAUGGCCGGUACAAAGGGCUGCGAUACCGUAAGGUGGAGCGAAUCCCAAAAAGCCGGUCUCAGUUCGGAUUGGGGUC
RNAcentral lists this ribosomal RNA (530 nucleotides) under uncultured bacterium. Its description in RNAcentral is "bacterial SSU rRNA". It matches the Rfam family "Bacterial small subunit ribosomal RNA", at positions 777 to 1305 of the family's 1533-position model. The record is from RNAcentral.